Molecule: ribosomal RNA, 252 nt
Filed under: uncultured bacterium
Lineage: Bacteria
Description: partial 16S ribosomal RNA
Rfam family: Bacterial small subunit ribosomal RNA
Source: RNAcentral
ACGUAUGUCCCGAGCGUUAUCCGGAUUUAUUGGGCGUAAAGCGAGCGCAGACGGUUGCUUAAGUCUGAAGUGAAAGCCCACAGCUCAACUGUGGAAUGGCUUUGGAAACUGGGCAACUUGAGUGCAGUAGAGGUAAGUGGAACUCCAUGUGUAGCGGUGGAAUGCGUAGAUAUAUGGAAGAACACCAGUGGCGAAGGCGGCUUACUGGACUGCAACUGACGUUGAGGCUCGAAAGUGUGGGUAGCAAACAGG